Molecule: transfer RNA, 77 nt
Filed under: Microbacterium sp. 77mftsu3.1
Lineage: Bacteria; Bacillati; Actinomycetota; Actinomycetes; Micrococcales; Microbacteriaceae
Description: tRNA_Arg_CCT
Rfam family: tRNA
About the family: Transfer RNA (tRNA) molecules are approximately 80 nucleotides in length. Their secondary structure includes four short double-helical elements and three loops (D, anti-codon, and T loops). Further hydrogen bonds mediate the characteristic L-shaped molecular structure. tRNAs have two regions of fundamental functional importance: the anti-codon, which is responsible for specific mRNA codon recognition, and the 3' end, to which the tRNAs corresponding amino acid is attached (by aminoacyl-tRNA synthetases). tRNAs cope with the degeneracy of the genetic code in two manners: having more than one tRNA (with a specific anti-codon) for a particular amino acid; and 'wobble' base-pairing, i.e. permitting non-standard base-pairing at the 3rd anti-codon position.
Source: RNAcentral
GCCCUCGUAGUUCAGUGGAGAGAACGGCGGUUCCCUACACCGCGUCGUCGCAGGUUCGAAUCCUGUCGAGGGCUCCA